UACUAGAAUUUGUACUUUACUAAGAAAGUGUAAUCCCAAAUAUAACAUAUGUUACAUUACAAAUUUAAUCAAAUAUUGAAAGUUUGGAUUCUUGAACAUUUUCUUCCUUUCUUUCUUCACAAAUCACAAUAUAACACCAUAUUAUACAUCCAAAAUUUAAAUGUACAAAGCAUGCAACAUCAGAAUACAAUAUGGAAUACAAAAUUUUCCCUAAAUCUUUAUGAAAUGUAUAUAAUGUUUUUAGUUCUAAAUAUCCUGGUUAUAUUUCUAUCAACUGCUUACACGUUCGCCGCAUGUAGAAUAUAGCGUCACAGAAGAAAAGUGAUAUUUUGCCCUUGAGCAUCGUACGAAAAAUAUGAGCCCCGAUAUUUUCGCCCUCGUGGGUUAUAUUUGGUUCAUUCAGGUCACUUUAUGUAUUGGUUUUCCUAUAAUUGUACUUACCUGACAACAGCUUAUGUGAGUAAAGUAAACAAACUAGGCAAUACAUACAUAAGGCUUCUUGUUGCUAUAAUCAACAUAUUUAAAGUGGUAGCUAAGGAUGAACCUGCAACCAGCUUUAUAUCGAGGUAAACGGACCCGGGGAAAUGAA
Long non-coding RNA from Haliotis rubra (blacklip abalone), 589 nucleotides. RefSeq lists it as uncharacterized. Lineage: Eukaryota; Metazoa; Mollusca; Gastropoda; Lepetellida; Haliotidae. The record is from RefSeq and is a predicted model, not a curated record. The transcript is spliced from 2 exons.